UGAGGAAUAUUGGUCAAUGGGCGCAAGCCUGAACCAGCCAUCCCGCGUGCAGGAAGACGGCGCUAUGCGUUGUAAACUGCUUUUCCAGGGGGAGAAACUUGCGCACGUGUUGCGCAAUUGACGGUACCCUGGGAAUAAGCAUCGGCUAACUCCGUGCCAGCAGCCGCGGUAAUACGGAGGAUGCGAGCGUUAUCCGGAUUCAUUGGGUUUAAAGGGUGCGUAGGCGGACUAUUAAGUCAGUGGUGAAAUCCUGCAGCUUAACUGCAGAACUGCCAUUGAUACUGAUAGCCUUGAGUUUGGUUAAGGUAGGCGGAAUGUGUAAUGUAGCGGUGAAAUGCUUAGAUAUUACACAGAACACCAAUUGUGUAGGCAGCUUACUGAGCCGACACUGACGCUGAGGCACGAAGGCGUGGGGAUCGAACAG
This 424-nucleotide ribosomal RNA is filed under the name uncultured bacterium. RNAcentral describes it as "bacterial SSU rRNA". It matches the Rfam family "Bacterial small subunit ribosomal RNA", at positions 355 to 775 of the family's 1533-position model. The record is from RNAcentral.